Long non-coding RNA from Musca vetustissima, 180 nucleotides. RefSeq lists it as uncharacterized. The record is from RefSeq and is a predicted model, not a curated record. Lineage: Eukaryota; Metazoa; Arthropoda; Insecta; Diptera; Muscidae. The transcript has 2 exons.
AAGCUGGAUAAAUUUUGGCCCUGGGCAGAUCGUGAGAAAAUUAUUUACAAACAAUCGACUUGUCAUUUGGUUCCUAAGAAACCUUUGGGCCUCAUUGAACAGCGCAUUCAAUUGUUGGCUAAACGUAACCUUUUGGAGCAUUUGGGAACCACCAACAACAGCAGCAGCAAUAACAACAAC